UAAGUAAAGGGCUUCGAGCUCAACAGUAAGUACCCGGUAAGUGUUAUUGUGGUUGCAGUGAAGGGCUGAGCCAGGGGUUCUAGAAACCCUCCAGCUCAGCACCUGCCCUCCAGCCCGAGCUGUGUGUGUGUGUGUGUGUGUGUGUGUGUGUGUGUGUGCAUAUCUAUCUGUGUGUGUAUCUGUGCAUGUGUGUCUGUAUCUGCGUGUGUCUGUGUGUGUGUGUGGGUGCGCACGCGUGUGGGGCGGCUGCUGGAGUCUGUGCAGUGCUGCUGGGAGUGGCCUAGGAGGUGGCUCCGCCAGACCAAACAACCCCAGUGCUUCAAGCUCCAGGCUUUUCUCUGACUCUGUUUGCUUUCUUUCUCUCCUUUCCGGUUCCCCUUUAACUGGUUCCUGCUUCCAGUGAGCAGAGCCGGAGGGAGGCCCUGGCAGGGACUGUGACGCCACCGAGGGACCAGAAGGACUAUUUGGGAGCAUUUGAGGGGCAAGGGACCCUGAGGCCAGCCAUGCCCAGGCCUCAGGCCUCCAGGGUUCCAUUCAGCCAGCAAGCUCCAGCUUUCCUUUGCCUGAAGUCGAUAUCAUCACCGGUAGACCUGUGUGUGACUCUACCAGGAAAGGACCUUGCUGCCCCUCCACGUUCUGCCUCUAGCAAACCCAGGAAAGGGAAAUCAAGGUGAAAUCUAAGGAAGGGGGGCGCCCAGGGCAUCACUGUGGCUGGGUUUAACUCGAAUCCUCUGCCUUCAUUGGAACCCACCGUUUAGCACAACAAGGGUUACAUACGUAAGUGGACCCUGGUCGUAUGAAAAGUUCCAUCUGCUAAA
This is a long non-coding RNA of Herpailurus yagouaroundi (jaguarundi), 818 nucleotides long. RefSeq lists it as uncharacterized. Lineage: Eukaryota; Metazoa; Chordata; Mammalia; Carnivora; Felidae. The transcript is spliced from 3 exons. The record is from RefSeq and is a predicted model, not a curated record.